RNAcentral lists this ribosomal RNA (253 nucleotides) under uncultured bacterium. RNAcentral's name for it is "partial 16S ribosomal RNA". It matches the Rfam family "Bacterial small subunit ribosomal RNA", at positions 524 to 776 of the family's 1533-position model. The record is from RNAcentral.
GACAGAGGGUGCAAACGUUGUUCGGAAUUACUGGGCGUAAAGCGCGUGUAGGCAGCUUGGCAAGUCGGAUGUGAAAGCCCUGGGCUCAACCUAGGAAGUGCAUUCGAAACUGCCGAGCUAGAGUUCUGGAGAGGAAGGCGGAAUUCUCGGUGUAGAGGUGAAAUUCGUAGAUAUCGGGAGGAACACCGGUGGCGAAGGCGGCCUUCUGGACAGCAACUGACGCUGAGACGCGAAAGCGUGGGGAGCAAACAGG